Long non-coding RNA from Cygnus olor (mute swan), 3189 nucleotides. RefSeq lists it as uncharacterized. The record is from RefSeq and is a predicted model, not a curated record. Lineage: Eukaryota; Metazoa; Chordata; Aves; Anseriformes; Anatidae. The transcript is spliced from 10 exons.
UCAGAACCAUGCUCUCUGUCUGCAGUACAAGGACUUCGUGUUGACCACCCUGCUUGGAUUAAGGAGGAUGCAAGGCAGGAGGAGCAGAGGGCUUAGCCAAGAUGUCUGUCAUCUCCCUUCAGAAAGCAUGAGCUGUUGCUAAGAGCUCUGGAGGUGCUGUACUGAAGCUUUGCUGACGUGCUGAUCCCUGCGACCGAUUCCUCUGAAGCAGGCUGCACCGUCAACUUGGAGACAGCUCCUCCAGGGUGAGAUCAGCUGCACCUUUAGGAGAGUCUCCAGACGGCUCUUCGGGGAGAAAAGUUAGAGACAGAUCAACAUCUGAAAAAAGUAUCUCCUCCGGUGGCAAAACACCGGCUUCACCUUGUGCCUCCCAAGGACAACUUGAAAAGGGCAAAGUGGAGCUGCCCCCGUUGCCCUUGCGCGGGGCUCAGAAGACUGCUCGCGAGCUCUUGUGGCAGCGUGACCUCAGGAGCUCUCCAGGAUGUGCAGUCCGGGGUUUUAUGCCCAAGCCUGUCCUGUGCUUGGCUAACGGCCUCGCUUCGUUGCAGGAUACUGAGCAGAGCUGCUGGGGCGUGCUAGCCUGGGGGAAGCCACGGAGCCACUGGUCGCCCAGGUAUCUGGAGAAAUCCCGUGCUUCCAGAUAAGGACACGCCACAUUUACAGUUGCCUACCACCUUUAACACAUCCUCUUCUGCAUGGUCACAUGAAGGUUGCCAGCAGGGGUGAAGAGCUCUGCUGGAGAGCAAGGAGGGAAGCUGCACGCAGUCACCUGCAAACACUGUAAAGAGCGUUCAAAGGUCCCCCUAUCAACUGUAGCCCAGCUGCACCAAGAGACCCUGCUCCUGAUGUCCUUGGCUCCUGCAGACGCACAAGAACCAGGCUGGCUGCGUGCUCCAGGUGGAGGAACAAAGGAGCCCUUCAUCUGCUCCUGCAGAGCAGGCUGGUGGCCAGCCCGUGUGUGGUGCUUGGUUCCCCCUGCUGCAGCUGAGAGGUGGGAGCAAGCGGAGGAUGAAAAAUCAGAGUAAUGGCCGAGGAGACGGUAUCCACUUGACUUUUCUUGCCCAUGGCGUGAGUGAUUAAUCUAGCGAAGGCGCUGCAGCGGAGUGAGACCACAAGGUUACGCAGCCCGAAGCCUACGUGCUCCAGGAGCUGGAGGAUGCUGCUGGACUGGCAGCCGCAAGGUGCGUUCCUCCUCCCCUCGCACUGCUCUGCCUUUGAUCUGCUUCCAGGAGGGGAAUUUUGUUCCCCGUUCCGAGCUGCUUCAACCCAGGCUGGCGGAGCAGCAGGAGCCCUGCUGUAACUAAUGAGAUGUUUGCUGCUCGCUGUCUGACACUGCGGUAGGUACUCUGUGCUGUCUGAGACCUGUGAUGAUAAACCAAGCCUCCCGGAGAUGGAGUGGCUUCCCAGUGAUACGAGACUGUUGUCCGCUUACUGUUAUCCGAUAGGAUCUCUCCUCCGAGCUCUGCUUAAGCCUCCUCUGUAGCGUAUCGAGCCACUGAGGUCUGAUCCUGCUGAGAAGUGGUGUAAACUGAGAGCAGAUCUGCCUGCCAGCAGUCUGCUUCAGGGGCAGAGCGGCACCGGGGCCCGCAGUAGGGCUGCUGGACAUUCAUGGAGAGCGUCUGCAUUUUGCAGUGUGGCUCUGGCAGGUGCUGGAGGGACUUUCCUACAGACAAACGUGAUUCCCCUCCUCGCUGCCCAAGGGCUGAGAACCCCCUGCGCAGAACCAGCACUGCCCCUCCUCUGCCCAUAGCUGAUGCCAAAGGAUCUUGGGCUGUUUCCUCGGAUCCUGAACUACUGAUGUCUCCUUUGCGGCCAGCUCACCCCAUGACACCUGCUGCUGUCCCCAUGCCAGCGAGGGGAGAUUCCCAACCAAACCCCCAUGUCGUGCUGUCUGUUUAUUGGAGGAAGCAAAGAGUAUUUUCAACCCUCCCAUCUAGCAGUGGGUCGAAUGGCAGGUCCGUGUGCCCACCUCUGGCCAGGUAGGUGCUGUGGGUGCUGUCUUCCUUCCUGGUGGGUCCUGUGCGCAGCGCUCGUCCCAGCACAGCGUGUGCUUCGCCUCCUCGGUGCCUCUGCCUCUUCCGUGGCACUGGGUUUUGUAUUGCAGAGCACCGGGGAGGGGAACUGUGCUGGUCGGGGUGCCUUUUGUGAGGCAACUCAUGCUUUUCCGUCCUGAACUGUUGUCUCAGGAAAAAUGUCUCUUUAACUGAUCAAAGCCUCUCUUCUGGUCCUGGUCGUAAUUGCUCCUUUUAGGAGAUUUCUGCCUGCAGAUAGACUUUGCUAACUUUCCCCAGAAAAGCUGCUGUUAACACAGGGAGUUUUCAUCUUAAAUUUCAAAGAGGUGAAACUUGGUCUCAGCCUUCUUGCCCAUUAAAUGGAGGUCUUUGGCUGAAAUCCUCGCUAUUCUUCUGGCUCCCAAGAGCUGGUGGACAUCUGGAAGACCCCUGCGGGCCUGGCUGGUUAGGAGAGGACCGCUGGUCCCUGGCUGGGGAUGAGCCCCGUAUCCACCAGCACCAUUGCUGUGGCCAAAGCCUGAUUUGGGUAGGCUGUAGUGCAAGUUCUGCCUGCUGAAGCGGGGUUUGUGUUUGUUCUGUUCUCCUUGACUUUCUACUGCGCUGCCUCAUGGGGUCUGCUCACCCACGUGCUGCUCAGCGGUCUUUGGAGCCCUGUUUCGGAGGGAAGGAAGUGCUGUCUGUUGUGAGGGGAUCUAAAUCUGCUGGUUAAGAGCAUCUUCUCUUCCCUGGGCAGAAAAUGCCCCCAUCCUUGAGCCUGUAUCAUCUCUGCUUGGAGUGGCACAAAGAGAUGCAGCGGCUCUGCUGCCGUUCAGCAGCUGGACCUGGACACAGGCUCCUAGUUUCAAGCAGAAAGAAACAAUUCCUGCUCAGCUGUUUGAAGAACUGGACCAAACAUCUUCCUGUCCCGUGCUGACCUUUGCGGUGAGGUUGUGCAUGGAGAAAUGUGCCGAAACGCCCCGUUGCCAUGAGAACCGAGGUCAAGAGAGGACCAGCGUGCUUCUGCUAAUUGCUGCAGCUCCUUCACCUGGCUGCAAACCCCGCUGCACGAAGCCAGCCCCAUGGUGCUCUGGCCCCAUCCUGCUCCUCAGCCCAGGUCUGGACGUCUCCCGAGCACCCAAGGUUGUUGUGGCUCUGUCCCCAAAGAGGUAAGGACAAGGGAGAGAAGAUUGGGGCUGUG